Molecule: RNA transcript, 4342 nt
Organism: Asparagus officinalis (garden asparagus)
Lineage: Eukaryota; Viridiplantae; Streptophyta; Magnoliopsida; Asparagales; Asparagaceae
Exons: 2
Source: RefSeq, a predicted model, not a curated record
CACUUUUUUUUACGUAUUUUUUCAUCUUUUUGUUGUCAAUCUUAAUGUUAAACAACUGCUUAAGUAGUAAAAUUUAAGUUUAAAAAAUGAAUUUUUAGAAAAAAAAAAUUAGCAUGCAUCUCUAGUAUCGUGCUAGAUGCUAUUAUUUGGGUAAUAUUUGCCUUGCAUUGAUCAAUUUGUAGGGGCAAAAAGAGAUUGAAUGCUUAAAAUUUGAACAUUUAAUACUUAUUUGGAAUUGCAUGUAUAUUAUUUGUUGUCUUUUUAAUUUUUUGGUACAUUUUUAAUAAUUGUGCGCAUAUGUUUCAUUUGUAUUUGAUAAGAUUAUAUGUGUGUGUAAGUUCUUUCUGUUAAUGAUUUGCAGUGUCAUUCUUAACAAGUAUGAGUUUAAAUGAUUUGUAAGUUUUUUUCUAUUCGAUCGGCUUUUUUAACAUAAUAAUUUUUUCUUAAAUCUCGAGUAUUAUAGAUGGAUUCUAUGAAAGAUGAAAUUGUUAAGAGAAUGUAUCCUAAAGCCUCAAUGUAUGUUAUUCUCCUAGUAAUUUCGAUGGUGAAAAUCUCUCGAUUGACUCUCGGUUAUCAUGUUUUUUGGUUGUUGACUAUUCUAUGAUGAUUGUAUAUUUUUAACCAAGAUCAAUUUUCAUAAAUUUUUUUGAUCUAUGGGUCGUGGUUGAUUUUUCAUCAAUAACACAUGUUAUGCCAGUCAUAUGUUGCAAUGAUGAUUAUUAAUACACUUGAUGUAGCAACCCCACACUGAAAUUUGAGUGUAUUAGUCUAGCUAUCAUUGAUGUAUUAACUCUAAUAUGAGCUUAUGCACAUAAAUGAUGAGGCAAACCCUCUCAUUGUGUACAUAGAAAAACACGGUUUGAUUUUCUUCUACUUCUCUUAUUUCCUAUAGUAUGACCCCCUUCAUUGGUAUUGACUAUUCUUAAAAGACCCUCUUCAUUUUCCCAAGCAAAAAAAUUGCAUUUCCUUUUGGGAUACAUAACACAUCCCCAGAAACGUUUCUCCAUGUUCUUCCGGUACUUGCAGGUCAUCAGUGGACUUGGAAUGUUGCAAUGGCAAUGCACUUCAAAAUUUUGAGAUGUAAGCAUGUUGAAUUGCCUACAGGGUGAACACAAUAUAUUUGCAAAAAAUUUAUUUCUUUUUUCUUUUUCCUUUUUAUUUUAUUUUUUAUUUUAUUUUUAUUUUUAUUUUUUUGUGAUUGGCAAAUGCCAACAAUAAUUUAUUUUUAGACACAUGUCACUGUUGCUCAUAUAGUUGUUGCCCCUUAUUUUUUUUACCGUUGGAUAUUAAUGCUUAACUUCAUGGUAACCAUGUGUGAUAAGGUCGCCGAUGGUUAGCUCACAUUUGUUUCCCAUGAUGAUCUCCUUGCAUCCAAACAAGAAAAUUUUGAGGAAAUCCAAAUCUUAAAUUAAAGUUUCCUAUUUUUUGGUUACCAAACCAAACAGAGGAUUUAAUGCAAAAUAAUUUCUUGGCAAGUCUUUUUUUCCUCUUUUUUUAACAAAUAAAAACAUACCACUUUAUAAGAAAGAUGGAGAAACUCAUGGAGAGGCAUUUUCGCUCAUGGAAAUGCAUUUUUGGUCAUGGAAAGACUUUCCAAAAUUAUAUAAUCUCUAUAAGAAAGAUGGAGAAGCUUCAUGAGAAGGGCAAGUGCUUUUCAUGGUUAUCGGUCAAAUAAGUUGCCCCUUUUUUUGAAACAAACAAAAAAAGCACUGUAGAAUAUGUAGAAUAUUCAACAUUCUACCAUGUUCAUGUGUGAUUAUGAAGGUGUUUGGAGGAGCUUAUUUUAAGAAGCUUUUAAGGUGUUUGGACUUUGGAGGAGCUUGUUUUUACAAGCUUUUAAGCUAUGUCAGCUUUUGGUAGCUUUUAACUCUUAUGAUAAAAAAAUAUAGAACUUAUUUGGGCAGAGUAGUAAUUUGUUUGGCUAAAUCUAGUUUAUUUGGGCGAGCUUAUAAGCUAGUUUUUUGAAAGCUAGGGUAACUUUUCAAAAUUGGACUUAAAGGCAACUUAUUCAAUGUUUUAACAAACAUGUACACAUGAAAAAACCAACUUAAAGCGUAAUUUGUGCAAUAAAAUUAACCUUCCCAAACCCCUUAUAUAUACUAACACAAUAAAUGGCUGUUUGGUUUAGUUUUUUUUAAUAGAUUGGGGAGGGAAUGGGAAUGAUAGUGUCUGUAUUCUCAAAAGUUAUUUCAUCCAAUUCCUAUUCUUAAGUUUGGUUCGCUUUUAUUUUAUAGAAUGUAUAUUCUAUAAAGUAGAUAAAGAUGAGUUUUUUUUAUGGAAACCCCCAUCCUCUCAAAUUGAUAGGAAUUAAGAUUAGAACUCUGACACCUACUAAUACAUUUCAUCCAUCUGUAUGCUCCUCUCCUAUUUUUUAUGGAAUGAACUAAACACAAGAGUACAAGUAAUAAAGCAUACCAUCAACUUCUAAUUUAUAUAAUAAAAAAAUUAAAAGAAAGACGUGCACAAGCUAUUUUAGUACCCUAUUCCUUUUUUUAACAGAAUGAACCAAACGGCCCUCAAUAUUCAACAUUCUAACCUGGAAAUCAUGAAAGAGCGACCUGGCUACCAAACUACUUGGAAAUUAAAAUGUCUCUUCUUUUUCGCCAUCAAUUUUCCAAAUACGCACCUCUCUAUAGUUUUCUUCACUGAGGGGCUGUUUGGUUGAAAAAAAUUCCCUUGAAAGCCUGCCAAAGUGUCAUUUCUUUGGCAAGCUUUAAUAAAAAACGCCUCUAAAAAAGAGGACUUUGCUUGAAAGCCUGCCAAAAAAUGACACUUUUGACAGACUGUUUUCCCUCAAAAACAGGGAACCAAACAGCCCCUGAUUGUUUUCUUCGUCUUCUCUUUCUUGAAACCCUAACCGUAGCACUAAUGCUUGGGCGGCGGCCGGAGAAUCUCGAUGGAUGCUUCUUUUCACUUGACGGAGGUUCAAAACCCUAGGCCAGAUUUAGGGUUUUUGGAGGCUGCUUCCGUUUCUUGCUAAAUGGGAUGCGGAUUGAUUUGUAGUAAAGAGAUUGUUUUCCCUCUUACCUUUGUGCAUUCUCUCAACAUUUCAAUGGAUUCUCCAUACAUUUUGAUUGAUCGCGCGUUUUAUUUUGUCACAUCUUUUAGGUGAACCUUGGAUUCCAUUGUAUCGAAGAGUUCUUAAAUUGUUGGAUGAAUUGCUUGCGCUUUGCUCAAUCGAGUUAUAGUUUAAUAAAGUUUGCAUCUUUCUGUGAAAUUGUUUUGUCUUUUUGUUCAACUUAUUUGCAUUUAGUGAAGGUGUUCUAAUACUUAUUGUAUCUGAAAAAAGAUGAAUUUUGACAUGGUUUAGAGGAAUUUAGCUGUAAUUGAAGAUUAAGAAUGGGUGUGGAUAAAGGGGGUGCUAAGAGUUGUUCCCCUGUUUGAUUGGAACAAAAAAAAUCCCCGAAGAAGUUGUUGUUCAGUGGAUCAGUUUCACUGGUUAACUUUCUUCUUCAAUGUGAAGUUGUAUAACUCUUGUUGCAUUUGGUUGAUGAUGACGGAGCUGUAGGAGUAUCUAGUGGGAAGGGGAGUAGUCACUAUAGUUGUGCAUCAUCGGUGACUGAUGAAGAAGGAAUCUCCAUUAGGGCCCCGGGAGUAGUAGCCCGUCUUAUGGGAUUGGAUUCCGUGCCUACAUCAGGUUGUCUCUGAACUCAGUUCCACGCCAUUCUUUGAUACGCAAUCUCUAUGCGACCAGCAAAACCAUAGUCCUGAAUUUUACAUUAAUGAUCAGUUCGAUCACGUAGUUGACAGAGCUGAUGGAUAUGCUAGGAGAUCUAUGGAGCUGUGAGCUCAAAAGAUGCUGAGCAGUCCAAUAGAGAGAUUUCAGACAGAAACUUUACCUCCAAGGUCUGCUAGGUCUCUCCCAUUAGUCACCACAAGCUGUUGUCACCGAUUAAAAACUCUAGGGUUUUCUCAUCCAAAAAUGCAGCACACAUUAUGGAGGCGGCUGCAAAGAUUCUUGAUCCUGGAUAUGGUUAAAGUUUCCUCAUUUGCGUCAUUUGUCUAUUCCCUUGAGGGUUCGUGAUUCAAAGGAGAAUAUGGUGGUUCCUGAGUCCCGGAGAACAUCUAGGACUCUAGAGUCGGUUAGAAUCCCUGUUGAUUCAAUGGAUUUUAGGCAUCUUAAUAGAGGGAAACCCUUGAACAAGAGUUGGAAUGGACCAGAAGAUACUGCAGUACCAAGACGGUCUCCAGAUCUCAGUGAUCCCAAUCUAGCUGAUGCGAAGAAAAAGAAGGAAUCCAUGUCUUUUACAGUUCAGACUAAAGUUAAUGCUCAGAGAAGGGAGGGCUUUAAGCUCAUCCCUUAGGAGCUCCCUAGCUAAGAAACAGAAUGAUGAAUGCACUU